GUACACGCUGUGACUAGCAUAUCAAUAAGCGGAGGAAAAGAAACUAACAAGGAUUCCCCUAGUAACGGCGAGUGAAGCGGGAAGAGCUCAAAUUUGAAAUCUUAAAGGGUUUCCCUUUACGAAUUGUAGUUUAAAGAAGUGUUUUCUGUUGAGGUUUUGGUAAAAGUUCUUUGGAAUAGGACAUCAUAGAGGGUGAGAAUCCCGUAUUUGACCUUUACUUUCAACUUUGUGAUACACUUUCAAAGAGUCGGAUUGUUUGGGAAUGCAGUCCAAAAUGGGUGGUAAAUUUCAUCUAAAGCUAAAUAUUGGCGAGAGACCGAUAGCGAACAAGUACCGUGAGGGAAAGAUGAAAAGAACUUCGAAAAGAGAGUUAAACAGUACGUGAAAUUGUCAAAAGGGAAGCGUUAUGACACCAGUGUUGUUUUUCUGAAAAUCAAUUAAAGAACUGUUUAUGCUAAGUUGUUUAGACUUUAUCAGCUAUCUGUUUAGUUUUGAGCUUUUCUUUAAUGCACUUUUCAGUUAACAAGUCAACAUCAAUUUCUUUUGCUGUAAAAAAGCUUGAGGAAGGUGGCUUGAGAUUCGUCUUAAGUGUUUAUAGCCUCUUGCCUAUGCAGUCGGAGAGAUUGAGGUCUGCAGCGUAGAUCCUUCGGGGCUAAAUGCAUUUGUGCUAAGUUAUAGCAUUUUAUAGACAACUUGUUGACUAUGAUUUGUCUUGUAGCUUACUCGCUUAUGUUAUUUUACCUACGCUUAGGAUGUUGAAGAUGUAGCACAUCAU
Molecule: ribosomal RNA, 775 nt
Filed under: uncultured Neocallimastigales
Lineage: Eukaryota; Fungi; Neocallimastigomycota; Neocallimastigomycetes; Neocallimastigales
Description: partial large subunit ribosomal RNA
Rfam family: Eukaryotic large subunit ribosomal RNA
Source: RNAcentral